This 633-nucleotide ribosomal RNA is filed under the name Triticum aestivum (bread wheat). RNAcentral's name for it is "partial small subunit ribosomal RNA". Lineage: Eukaryota; Viridiplantae; Streptophyta; Magnoliopsida; Poales; Poaceae. The record is from RNAcentral.
AUGGCGGCUGCUAUGACAUCAUCCACCACUACCAGCACAAGCAACGCAAAGCAGCAAACACGACUACAACUCCGCGUGACCAAGGUGACUACAGCAGGUCCUCAGCGUGGCAACGGAGCCAGCGCCGACGAUAUCGCAGCAGCGGCGAUGUUGCGACCCAGACAAGCACAACAUCAUCGAGGCGGCAGCACUGCCAUAGUAUUGCAUCCCUUGCCAUGCAGCAGCGCCGUCGUCAGUGGCUCCAUUGACGCUUCAUUGCGGCGCCCCGUCCUCGGCUUGCCGCGUCGUUGGCAGCAACGCUCACUUCAUUGCAUCACUGGUGGCGAGUGUCGCCUUCCUCGACUUGCCGCGCCGCCCGCAGCAGCACCUGCUCCAUUGCAAUGCCGUCGGCAUCAAUGCUCGCUUCAUUGCAGCACCGGUGGCGAGCGUCGCCGUCCUCAACUUGCCACGCCGCCGGCAGUAGCGCCCGCUCUUCAUUGCAGCCCUGACGGAGCUCCAUUGCAGCUCCGGCCGCCGUGGUGCCGGGCUCCAUCGCAGCCCAGGCAGAGCUCCAUUGCAGCUCCGGGUGCCGUGGUGCCGGGCUCCAUUGUAGCCCCGGCCGCCGACGCCCACAGUAUCCCCGUCGUCAGCUGA